RNAcentral lists this ribosomal RNA (226 nucleotides) under uncultured Actinomycetes bacterium. RNAcentral's name for it is "uncultured actinobacterium partial 16S ribosomal RNA". It matches the Rfam family "Bacterial small subunit ribosomal RNA", at positions 898 to 1127 of the family's 1533-position model. Lineage: Bacteria; Bacillati; Actinomycetota; Actinomycetes. The record is from RNAcentral.
AACUCAAAAGGAUUGACGGGGACCCGCACAAGCGGCGGAGCAUGCGGAUUAAUUCGAUGCAACGCGAAGAACCUUACCAAGGCUUGACAUAUAGAGGAAACGUGCAGAAAUGUACGCCCCGCAAGGUCUCUAUACAGGUGGUGCAUGGUUGUCGUCAGCUCGUGUCGUGAGAUGUUGGGUUAAGUCCCGCAACGAGCGCAACCCUCGUUCUAUGUGCCAGCACGUA